RNAcentral lists this ribosomal RNA (425 nucleotides) under Clostridioides difficile. Its description in RNAcentral is "bacterial SSU rRNA". It matches the Rfam family "Bacterial small subunit ribosomal RNA", at positions 338 to 777 of the family's 1533-position model. Lineage: Bacteria; Bacillati; Bacillota; Clostridia; Peptostreptococcales; Peptostreptococcaceae. The record is from RNAcentral.
CCUACGGGGGGCUGCAGUGGGGAAUAUUGGACAAUGGACCAAAAGUCUGAUCCAGCAAUUCUGUGUGCACGAUGACGGUCUUAGGAUUGUAAAGUGCUUUCAAUCGGGAAAAAGAAAGUGAUGGUACCGAUAGAAGAAGCGACGGCUAAAUACGUGCCAGCAGCCGCGGUAAUACGUAUGUCGCAAGCGUUAUCCGGAUUUAUUGGGCGUAAAGCGCGUCUAGGCGGUCUGGUAAGUCUGAUGUGGAAAUGCGGGGCUCAACUCCGUAUUGCGUUGGAAACUGCCAGACUAGAGUACUGGAGAGGUGGGCGGAACUACAAGUGUAGAGGUGAAAUUCGUAGAUAUUUGUAGGAAUGCCGAUAGAGAAGUCAGCUCACUGGACAGAUACUGACGCUGAAGCGCGAAAGCAUGGGGAGCAAACAGGA